UACGUAGGGGGCAAGCGUUGUCCGGAUUUAUUGGGCGUAAAGAGCGUGUAGGCGGCCAUACAGGUCCGUUGUGAAAACUGGAGGCUUAACCUCCAGACGUCGAUGGAAACCGUAUGGCUAGAGUCCGGAAGAGGAGAGUGGAAUUCCUGGUGUAGCGGUGGAAAUGCGCAGAUAUCAGGAAGAACACCCGUGGCGAAGGCGGCUCUCUGGGACGGUACUGACGCUGAGGAGCGAAAGCG
This 239-nucleotide ribosomal RNA is filed under the name uncultured bacterium. Its description in RNAcentral is "partial 16S ribosomal RNA". It matches the Rfam family "Bacterial small subunit ribosomal RNA", at positions 524 to 761 of the family's 1533-position model. The record is from RNAcentral.